RNAcentral lists this ribosomal RNA (289 nucleotides) under uncultured Mycobacterium sp. RNAcentral describes it as "partial 16S ribosomal RNA". Lineage: Bacteria; Bacillati; Actinomycetota; Actinomycetes; Mycobacteriales; Mycobacteriaceae. The record is from RNAcentral.
CUACCAGGGUAUCUAAUCCUGUUCGCUCCCCACGCUUUCGCUCCUCAGCGUCAGUUACUGCCCAGAGACCCGCCUUCGCCACCGGUGUUCCUCCUGAUAUCUGCGCAUUCCACCGCUACACCAGGAAUUCCAGUCUCCCCUGCAGUACUCCAGUCUGCCCGUAUCGCCCGCACGCUCACAGUUAAGCCGUGAGUUUUCACGAACAACGCGACAAACCACCUACGAGCUCUUUACGCCCAGUAAUUCCGGACAACGCUCGCACCCUACGUAUUACCGCGGCUGCUGGCAC